This 450-nucleotide ribosomal RNA is filed under the name uncultured organism. Its description in RNAcentral is "partial 16S ribosomal RNA". It matches the Rfam family "Bacterial small subunit ribosomal RNA", at positions 331 to 797 of the family's 1533-position model. The record is from RNAcentral.
GUACACUCCUACGGGAGGCAGCAGUGGGGAAUAUUGGACAAUGGGCGCAAGCCUGAUCCAGCCAUGCCGCGUGAGUGAUGAAGGCCCUAGGGUUGUAAAGCUCUUUCACCGGUGAAGAUAAUGACGGUAACCGGAGAAGAAGCCCCGGCUAACUUCGUGCCAGCAGCCGCGGUAAUACGAAGGGGGCUAGCGUUGUUCGGAUUUACUGGGCGUAAAGCGCACGUAGGCGGACUAUUAAGUCAGGGGUGAAAUCCCGGGGCUCAACCCCGGAACUGCCUUUGAUACUGGUAGUCUUGAGUUCGAGAGAGGUGAGUGGAAUUCCGAGUGUAGGGGUGAAAUUCGUAGAUAUUCGGAGGAACACCAGUGGCGAAGGCGGCUCACUGGCUCGAUACUGACGCUGAGGUGCGAAAGCGUGGGGAGCAAACAGGAUUAGAUACCCUUGUAGUCCCA